This is a long non-coding RNA of Lathyrus oleraceus (garden pea), 960 nucleotides long. RefSeq lists it as uncharacterized. NCBI's taxonomy places the organism in Eukaryota, Viridiplantae, Streptophyta, Magnoliopsida, Fabales, Fabaceae. The transcript has 2 exons. The record is from RefSeq and is a predicted model, not a curated record.
AGUUUAUCGAUGUUUUCCCUUUCCUUCGAGAAUAAAUAAAGUUCGAUGACAACCCUAUUUGAUCUUCGAGCAUGCGAUACGCUUAAGUAUUUUUUUGUGGUGCGAAAAUCGGCAAGCCCAAUGCGCCAAUUACAAGAGAUGGGAGGAAAGGAUAUCUUCAUAUUGAAUUCAUUUCACUAUCAUUCAUAUGUCUCCUCUUAACCGUCGCUUGGCCAGAGAACAACUUCGUCACGCAGGAAACUGCCUCCGACAGUGGCAAAGGCUCAAAUACCACAAACCAUACAUCAAGUUGCUCUCCUUGUUCUCCUCUCUCACCCUACCCUAUUUUCUCUCUCUAAUUCUCCCUCUAAAUUCCAAAUUAAACUUAAAAUACCAAGAACCCUAGCCUACAUUUCAGAAAUUAAACGCAAGUAUGGAGGAAUCAAAGCCUAAUUCCUUGGGGCUUUGAUUCCUCAGGUGAAACCUCACAUGGUGGAAACAAGAAUUAGGGAAAAACAAAAGAGGAAUGAGAAUAUCCUACCUACAAGGACAUGUUAUUCCUCGGUCAGAGUUGAAUUCAACACAAAUGAAGAUGAAUACGAAGAAAUUGCAGGGCUGAUGUGCCUAAGAUGGCUUAGUAAUACACUUUUGCAAGGCAUGAUCAAGGCAUUUCAACAAGGCUUAGCAAGGUAUGGUCAAGAUUGGCAUGGCAUCAAAUUUGAAAGAAGUUUCGGAGCACUUGGAUUCUCAAGGAUUGGAGGACCUUAUGGAUGUAGAGAAAAUGUGAUUAGGGUCAUAAGAUUAGAUAAUUGACUUUGGUCAACUGGUUGACCAAAAAGUCAACAGUUGACCAAAAAGUCAACAGUUGACCAUAAUCAAUUGUAGGUCAAAGUUGUAUAUAUUUUUUGUGUGUAGGUUUUGGACUUUGCAAUGUAAUUGGAGAGUGUAACCUUUGAUGAUAAAGAAAAUGGCUUUGUAUGA